GAUGAACGCUGGCGGCGUGAAUAACCCUUUAAAGUCGAGGGCUUCGGCUCCGCAGGGAGCCAAGGACCGGCAAACGAGGUAGUAACACGUAGGUACGUACCCUUUAUUCUCGCAUAGCUCUCCAAAAGGGGAGGUAAUUCGAGAGGGUCUCGCAUAUUAAUUUAUGUGAGUAAAGAUUUAUCGCUAAAGGAGCGGCCGGCGGGAUAUCACCUAGUUGGAAAGGAAAGGGCUUACCAAGGCUAUGACGUCUAGGAAAGCUGAAAGGCUCUACUCCACCGAUGGGACUGAAACACGGCCCAUACACCUACGGGUGGCUGCAGUCAAAAAUCUACCGCAAUGGGCAAAAGCCUGACGGACCGACCCCGCGUGACUGAUGAAGUCCUUCGGGACGUAAAGGUCUUUUAUGAGGGAAAAAUUUCGAUGAUAGUACCUCAUGAAUAAGGAGCUCCAAACUCUGUG
RNAcentral lists this ribosomal RNA (459 nucleotides) under uncultured bacterium. RNAcentral's name for it is "bacterial SSU rRNA". It matches the Rfam family "Bacterial small subunit ribosomal RNA", at positions 28 to 507 of the family's 1533-position model. The record is from RNAcentral.